GUCUAAAUAGCUUAUAAAGAGCAUAGCAUUGAAGAUGCUAGGGAAAUAUGUAUUAUUUUUAGACA
RNAcentral lists this transfer RNA (65 nucleotides) under Alcidodes juglans. RNAcentral describes it as "tRNA-Phe". The record is from RNAcentral. Lineage: Eukaryota; Metazoa; Arthropoda; Insecta; Coleoptera; Curculionidae.